Molecule: ribosomal RNA, 433 nt
Filed under: uncultured bacterium
Lineage: Bacteria
Description: partial 16S ribosomal RNA
Rfam family: Bacterial small subunit ribosomal RNA
Source: RNAcentral
AACGAACGCUGGCGGCAUGCCUAACACAUGCAAGUCGAACGAGACCUUCGGGUCUAGUGGCGCACGGGUGCGUAACGCGUGGGAAUCUGCCCUUGGGUUCGGAAUAACAGUUGGAAACGACUGCUAAUACCGGAUGAUGACGUAAGUCCAAAGAUUUAUCGCCCAAGGAUGAGCCCGCGUAGGAUUAGCUAGUUGGUGAGGUAAAGGCUCACCAAGGCGACGAUCCUUAGCUGGUCUGAGAGGAUGAUCAGCAACACUGGGACUGAGACACGGCCCAGUCUACUACGGGAGGCAGGAGUGGAGAAUAUUAGGAAAUGAGCGACAGCAUGAUCCAGCAAUGCCGCGUAAGUGAUGAAGGCCUUAGGGUUGUAAAGCUCUUUUACCCGGGAUGAUAAUGACAGUACCGGGAGAAUAGGCUACGACUAACUCCGUG